Molecule: ribosomal RNA, 188 nt
Filed under: uncultured bacterium
Lineage: Bacteria
Description: partial 16S ribosomal RNA
Rfam family: Bacterial small subunit ribosomal RNA
Source: RNAcentral
CCUUCAUGAAGCCGGAAUUGCUAGUAAUGGCAGGUCAGCAUACUGCCGUGAAUACGUUCCCGGGCCUUGUACACACCGCCCGUCACACCAUGAGAGUUGGGGAUACCCGAAGCCUGUGAGCUAACUAUUUAUAGGAGCAGCAGUCGAAGGUAGAAUCAAUGAUUGGGGUGAAGUCGUAACAAGGUACC